This 127-nucleotide small RNA is filed under the name Marmota monax (woodchuck). The record is from RNAcentral. Lineage: Eukaryota; Metazoa; Chordata; Mammalia; Rodentia; Sciuridae.
GCCAGGCACGGUGACGCCUGCCUGUAAUCCCAGUGGCUGGGGAGGCUGAGGCAGGAGGAUCUUGAGUUCAAAGCCAACCUCGGAAAUUUAGUGAGGUGCCAAGCAACUCAGUGAAACCCUGUCUCUA